This 253-nucleotide ribosomal RNA is filed under the name uncultured bacterium. Its description in RNAcentral is "partial 16S ribosomal RNA". It matches the Rfam family "Bacterial small subunit ribosomal RNA", at positions 524 to 776 of the family's 1533-position model. The record is from RNAcentral.
UACAUGGGGUGCAAACGUUGCUCGGAAUUAUUGGGCGUAAAGCGCACGUAGGUGGUUCGUUAUGUCGGAUGUGAAAGCCCUCGGCUCAACUGAGGAAGUGCAUCCGAAACUGGCGAGCUAGAGUAUGUAAGAGGGUCGCGGAAUUCCCGGUGUAGAGGUGAAAUUCGUAGAUAUCGGGAGGAAUACCGGUGGCGAAGGCGGCGACCUGGGACAAUACUGACACUGAGGUGCGAAAGCGUGGGGAGCAAACAGG